AGAAAAAGGCAAACCUAUUGAAAAAUAGGGACGCAAAGCCGAGGAUCUAAGGUAAGGUGCCAGACUUACUAGGGUGGCCGGGUUACC
Molecule: non-coding RNA, 87 nt
Filed under: uncultured Neobacillus sp.
Lineage: Bacteria; Bacillati; Bacillota; Bacilli; Caryophanales; Bacillaceae
Description: Cyclic di-GMP-I riboswitch
Rfam family: c-di-GMP-I riboswitch aptamer
About the family: GEMM was predicted in a large-scale screen for bacterial structured RNA regulatory elements.
Source: RNAcentral